This 1315-nucleotide long non-coding RNA is filed under the name Capra hircus (goat). RNAcentral describes it as "lncRNA (ENSCHIG00000007528.1)". The record is from RNAcentral. Lineage: Eukaryota; Metazoa; Chordata; Mammalia; Artiodactyla; Bovidae.
CCUAGAAUGGCAAGGGACACGGGGAAAGGGAAGCAAAACUAGCGUUUGUUGAGGAUCAGUGAUGUGCAAGGCAUGGCCCACAUUCCUUUUAUGCAGAACUUGAUACCAAGAAGAAAGAAGGCAGAGGCAUUUUCAAAGUCAUAACUGUCUAAAGAAAUUGGGAAGACAGUGCCUGGUACCUAGGAAAUAUUGAGUAACUUAUAGCAACUGUGGUGAUGGUGGCGAUAUACAGAUGUCUGGGUAAGAUUUUGCAUUUCUUUUGCGAAAAAACGAGUGAAUCACAGUUGGAUAUCUCUUCUGCAACUGAUAGUGACCUCCGUUUUCCGAAGACAUUAAAAAAAGCUCUGCAGAUUGAGGCCCCAAGAGAUGGAAGAGUUCAUAAGAUGGAAGUCACCAGAGUCUUAAAAUCAUCAUGUGGAGGCAAGCAACAUGCGAGGAAUACCCAGGUUAGACUAUUGUCCAACUGAGAAAUAAACUUUAUAUGACCAUAGUCACUGAAAUUUUGAAGUUUAUUAUAGCAGCUAGUGCUGUCUAACUAAUGCAAAAUUGAAUAUGUAUUUCAAUGCAUUAAUAUCAUGUGAAAGGUAAAAACCACACCCUAAAUAAAUUUUUUAAGUUAUGAAAAGUUAAUCACCCUUAAUAAGACUAGUUUAUUUUCUUAUUUUAAAAAUAAAAUAAAAAAAUUACAGACACUGCAUAAACUGAAUACAAACGGUUUUCAUAGAUGAUUAUAAUCAACUUUUUUACUAGCUGAUAGAAUAUAUAAAUAUUCUCUCUAGUUACACAGGUAUUAUCUCACUUUUCAAAGAAAUGUAUCUUGGCUAUUGUAAAUAGUGCUGCUGUGAAUGUUGGAGUGUAUGCACCUUUUUAAAUUAUGGUUUUCUCUGAGUAUGUGUCCAGCAGCGGGAUUGCGGGUCAUAUGAUAGUUCUAUUUUUAGUUUUUUAAGGAACCUCCAUACUGUUUUCUGCUGUGGCUGUAUCCAUUUACACUCCCACCAAGGGUGCACAAGGGUUCCCUUUACUUCAUAUCCACCCCAGCAUUUAUUGUUUGUAGAUUUUUUGAUGAUGGUCCUUCUCUGGUGUGAGGUGAUAUCUCACUGUAGUUUUGAUUUGCAGUUCUCUAAUGAUUAGUGGUAUUGAGCAUCUUUUCAUAUGUUUGUUGGCCAUCUUUACGUCUUUGGAAAAAUAUCUAUUUAGUUCUGCCCUUUUUUGAUUGGGUUGUAAUUUUUUGUAUUGAGCUACAUCAGCUGCUUGUAUAUUUUGCAGAUUAACCCUCUAUCAUCUGCAAAUAGUUUCUCUCAUUCUGAGGUAUGUC